This 468-nucleotide ribosomal RNA is filed under the name uncultured bacterium. RNAcentral describes it as "partial 16S ribosomal RNA". It matches the Rfam family "Bacterial small subunit ribosomal RNA", at positions 28 to 507 of the family's 1533-position model. The record is from RNAcentral.
GACGAACGCUGGCGGCGUGCUUAACGCAUGCAAGUCGAACGGAAAGGCCCUGCUUUUGUGGGGUGCUCGAGUGGCGAACGGGUGAGUAACACGUGAGUAACCUGCCCUUGACUUUGGGAUAACUUCAGGAAACUGGGGCUAAUACCGGAUAGGAGCUCCUGCUGCAUGGUGGGGGUUGGAAAGUUUCGGCGGUUGGGGAUGGACUCGCGGCUUAUCAGCUUGUUGGUGGGGUAGUGACUUACCAAGGCUUUGACGGGUAGCCGGCCUGAGAGGGUGACCGGCCACAUUGGGACUGAGAUACGGCCCAGACUCCUACGGGAGGCAGCAGUGGGGAAUAUUGCACAAUGGGCGGAAGCCUGAUGCAGCAACGCCGCGUGCGGGAUGACGGCCUUCGGGUUGUAAACCGCUUUCGCCUGUGACGAAGCGUGAGUGACGGUAAUGGGUAAAGAAGCACCGGCUAACUACGUG